AUCUACCGUUGUCAUCCAUGUAUCAGAUCAUACUCAUAAUACUUCAUUAACUCUCUUAUUAUUUCCUGCUAACAUUUCUGGCUAUCACUUUAUUUCGAAAACUUCGACAAGAUAUUCUUUUGCUUUUAGCUCCCCUUGCUUCAUUCAUUGGCUUGUCGGUUUGCUUAACGUUCUCGCUCUACUAGGAACACGAGCAAUACUAAGGUAAUAUUGCUCACCUUAUCAAGAGGCUUACACCUUUCAGUACGCACAUGAUCUGCUGAAGGCCUCAUAUUUACUUAUCAUAGGCGUCAUACAAAAAUCUGAUUCCUCUGACUCAGCUCUUCUACAACUAUCUCUCUUUCCAACCUUCUUUCCGGAUGUAGGCAUCGUCGUAUUACAAAUAAAAUAGAAUUUCGGAAGGUGAAUUCUUAUAAGUGAGCUCUACCACACGAUCUAGAGUAAGAAGAAAGAGUGACAAUCCUAAAUGCCCUGUAGCCUCAUACUUAUAACUGUGGUGCACGACACACCCAUAAAAAAGAUUCUACUAGACGCGACUUGUAGACUCCCUAGGACAGAACUGUUCUGAUACCACUUUUGUCACGCCCUGAACCUAGGGCCGAGACUGGUACCCAAUGCCUCAGCUAUCCUUGGGUACUAACUUGCAACUAAGGGACUCUGAACAUAUGAUGUCAUACUUUGGCCAUGGGCCACAUUGCAAGAUAACUACGAAUGCUGACUAACUGUUAAUAUAUAACUGGGCCGACAAGGCCAUCAUAACUAUUACAGCUGAUAAACCAACCAAAUAUACAUACAAGACCUGCAAGCCUAACAUAUUGCACUAAUUGACAGGAUAUGUCUACAAGCCUCUAUUGAUGGAUAUACUGUGAUCGGAAUAGCUACCCAACCUACUCAUAACAUAUAUAUAUAUACACACAAGAUGUACAUAAGGUUCUAGACCCAAAAACUCCGAAAGGCUUGGAGCUUACCGAUCAAGCUGAACUCGAGCAAUACCUAUUGUGGAGGCCUACCCGUCUGUCUGUCUGACCUGCACACAUGAAAUGCAACGCCCCCAGAAAAGGGACGUCAGUACGAAAUAAUGUACUGAGUACGUAAGGCAAUAUACUGAAAGCUGAAACUGAACUGAUAAUAUAAUAAUUGCAAGUAGCUGGAAGUCAAAGAUAAUCUGAAGAUAUGCUUACCUGCUGAUACUGACUCAACUCUCUUAAUAUAGUAAAUAAAAUAGCUGUUCGGCCCUAUAAGGCUCGGUAUAUAUAUAUAACUGCUCUGCCGUAGUAGGCUCGCUCAUAAGCGCUCGGCCAUACUAGGCUCUGUAUCUCUCCAACUGGGCUCACUUAUAAGCGAUCGGCCACAAUAGGCUCGGUAUAUAACUUACAAUCUGAUCAGAGGUUGCCCAAUCGGGGCCUGCCCAUCGAUUAUAGCUCGAUGGUAAUGAAAAUACUUUUAAUACUAUAUAUAUGUAAACUUUCUGCUCUCUUGACCGAAAGAAAAAAAUACUCAAUUGAAUAUGAAGUCCUAAUAAGGAUAAUAUUGUAACUUACAAAACUAAGAAAAUAUACGUAAUUUGCGAGACUAGCCAAAUAUACGUAAAUUUCGGGAUACAAAUUUUUCUUUAUGGCUCAUAAAAAAAAUUGUGUAAUGACAAGAUCAUGCCAAAAGAAAGAAGGGAGGGCUUAACAUACCUGAGAUGAUUCCCUUGAUCAAUCACAACCUACAUAUAGAUAGGUGGUUUUGGCAAUUUCUAACACGUUAUUCCGAACUUGACAAUGUGCAGCUUCCUGUUUCAAUAAACUAGCUUCAUGUUUCAAAGAAACUAAUUCAUCACUUGACUAUGUCAUUACCAAGACCAUGUUAAAUACUAGCUCCAACAGUGCAUUCAAUCAACGUCAGAAAGGAACCAACCUUGUAGAAGCCUACUAACUUUCAUGGCAGAAAAAGAUCAAAGCUUUAGGUUCACAAUCUCUUGGGAGGUAAUUAUUGUACGUGAAUAUCUAAUCCGUGUAGAAUUUAGUAUGCAUUACUCUAAAUAACAACCCAAAAUAGUAGAAUAUUAUGAAGAGAGAAAGAGUUGAAAUUUUGUAGCUUUUCUAAGAACUCUCGUUGUUAAGGUGCCAAACUUUUUAUCUGAUUGUAGGGAUUGUAUAUUAAUAUAAAGAAUGAAGUGUCCUUGAUUUAUUAACGUAGUUGCCACCUAAUGAAGGUUUUCUAAGAGUCAUCAAAGGGCUAAAAGGAGGUGCUGCC
RNAcentral lists this long non-coding RNA (2241 nucleotides) under Nicotiana tabacum (common tobacco). RNAcentral's name for it is "long non-coding RNA (NTAB_LNC019447)". The record is from RNAcentral. Lineage: Eukaryota; Viridiplantae; Streptophyta; Magnoliopsida; Solanales; Solanaceae.